UACGGGGGGAGCAAGCGUUGUUCGGAUUUACCGGGCGUAAAGGGCGCGUAGGCGGUCAGCACAAGUCAGUUGUGAAAUCUCCGGGCUUAACUCGGAAAGGUCAACUGAUACUGUGCGACUAGAGUGCGGAAGGGGCAACUGGAAUUCUCGGUGUAGCGGUGAAAUGCGUAGAUAUCGAGAGGAACACCUGCGGCGAAGGCGGGUUGCUGGGCCGACACUGACGCUGAUGCGCGAAAGCCAGGGGAGCGAACGGG
Molecule: ribosomal RNA, 254 nt
Filed under: uncultured bacterium
Lineage: Bacteria
Description: partial 16S ribosomal RNA
Rfam family: Bacterial small subunit ribosomal RNA
Source: RNAcentral